CACAACAAAAAAUGAUAUUUUUACAUGAAAAUCGCCGCUAUAGAUUCUAUACAUGAAAACCGUCGCUUUUUGUCCAAUAUACCUCCUUCAUACAUACCUAAAACAUGUCCAUCGCUCCACCCUAGCUUCAAGGAAUUGAAGAGGAAUGGGAAAACUGGGUAAGAAUACCACCAGCCAUCUUCGCUAGAUUUUCCAUAUUCAUCUGCCAUGAAGAAAAAUAGAGAUGACGAGUACCAGUAAAAAAUAAGGGGAAAAAUAAAAAUAAAAUCGUUAUCCUAUCGGGAAAAAAAGGUGAAAUAAAACUGUUAUCCUAUCAGGGAAAAAAGUGGUGCAAGUUCUCAUAUGCUAAAUUAAAAGAAGAGAGUAAAAUAAGUUCCUAGGGUUCUCUUUGACAACACAUGGGAGAUGGUGGGUUUUAAAAAAUGUGUCCAUAUGUGAUAGGCAAAUGCACUCACACCCUCUUAAUUUAGACAUAGUAUAGCUAGAAAAAAUCCAUCCUUAGUGUACCAUCAGUGCAACAAAACAAUAUUUAGUGACUGAACAGAAAGAACAAAUAAAACAUAAAACCACAUGAAGCUUUGAUGAUAUUCGAAGGAAACUGAUAUUUCCACACGAGUCUCUCACAUGGAGGUGGGACCACUCACUAUUCAGGUGAGAGGGAUUAUGUGAAAAUAUAAAUUUUUUAUGUGGAAAUAUCAGUUCCCUAUUUGAAACUCAAAAAUAACCCCAGAGAGGAAAAAAUCAAUAUGUAAAACUAACCACAAUAACUUCUGGAAUUUAUAUCAGCUCCAAUCUAGAGCAAUAAUGUAACAAUGGAUUAAACACAAGUAGAUAAGGUGGAUAUAGGUUUACCUCAUUACGACCAUUAACAGCGGCGUAGUGAAGAGGAGAGUAAAGGACGCAAAAACACGGUACAUCCGGUAAGGCAAGGAAUCAAGAAGCAGCUUUGACACCAAGCACUCGAAAUAUUUCCCUAUAAAACUUAAUUUCAAAUAAGUACUAUGACUGAGCUCAUUGAUCAAAUUAAGUCAUUUCUCCCUUUGGAUUUACAAUGACACCAGCAGUGUCUGCAAAUGGAACAAAGUUAUAGAUUAAUAACAAUGAAAAGAACAUGUAGAUAUAGGCAAAGAGACGAGACAAUUUUCUAAUUUAUCUACAAAAAGAAAUAUAUUUACAGAAAAGGAAGUAUCUUUCCAACAAAUUACAAUAUUAAAGACAGAAUAGUUAAUUUAAGACAGUAAUUCCUUAUUACCACGACAUUUUGUUGAGCUUUUUUCCUUAAUCUUAUGCAGAUAAUUACAUGACUAUUGACAGUCCCAAUAUUUAAGUGCUUUCUUCAAAAAACUGAUUCCAGCAAUGAAUAAAGAAUUAACUGGCACACUUGAGAUGCAACACCACAUCAAUCUUCUCUAAAAUAGAGAACAAUAUAGAACAAGUAAUCCAGUAUUUCAACAUGAUACUGCUAUAUAUAGGAAAGAUAACACAGUGAAUGUAAGAUAUAAUUGGAGCAGAUGCUUGAAAAGCGUCGGCAUAUCUGUAACAUUAGAUACUUGUCACUUUUCCAGAUUAGUAACCGUAUCAACCAUGGAUAUGGAGUAUACAACUGACUUAAAUCUGGAUAUAAUGAUUUGGCAGGACCACACAUCUUCAAUAAAUAUUCACAUCAAAGAAUUCAAAUGCUAUAUGCUAUAAAGCAUAGUUAUAAACUCACGAGAACUGCCAAGUUUCAAAAAUAAUAAAUGCAAAAACAGUUAAAACUUGAGCAGAACUAUCUGAAUCUUCAAAGAAGAGAGCUAAAGAGAUGGCAAUGGUUCCUUAAACAUUAGAUUUCCUAACAACAAUAGCAAUUUCAUGUACAAACAAGCAAAAUCAACAUUUGACUAAAUAAUGUAUCGGAUUGUGGCAGGCGGGAUUCAGAAAGGAGAUCCAGCUUGAUAUAUAUCUGAUUUUUAACUUUAAUAUGGCUUAUAUCAGGAUGUAUCAUAUCAUUACACUUGUAUACUCAACAAGUUGAUGGGAUACACAUGCAUCAAGACAUGCCUUAACCAGCUUAAACUAUUAAUCUAAUCAGUAACAAAGUUGAAGAUACUACAAGGUUCGUAGGUCCAAGAAUGUAUAUAAAAGGAAUAAAUAAGAAUUAAAGCCUCCACUCAAACUAAUGGUAUUAUACAGAAAAUACAAAGGUAUUUAUUUUUAAAAAAAAAGCAACUUCCUUUUCAAAGAAUUUAUAAAGUAGGGACUGAUGAGAAAUAAGGGCCAUAUUUAGACACAUGACUUAAUAAUGGCCCAAAGGGGCUUACAUAACCAAGUUACAAAAGGAUAAAAACAACUGAUUAAAUUUGGAAAGAACACAGGUUAUGUUGCUGCAGGGUAUUAUAUGAUAUAACAACUGAUUAAAUUUGGAAACACUUGUUAGUUCUGCUUGUGUCAAGCAAAUUUAUACCAACAUACAUCACAUUACAAAAAUUCCCUCAAAAAAGAAAAGAUUGAAUCUAAGCCAAAAAGAAAAGUAAUAUUCCAGCCUCAACAGGGGUGAAAAACUGGAAUUUUAUCUAGCUGGGUAUGGGAGGUGAGGAGAAACCUUCAUUAAAAAAAUUCUCAGCACCACAUCACCAGAAAAACCAACUACAGAAAAGUUAAAAGUCGUAAUAUCCAUGAAAUUUAUGAAUAAUAUUAAUAAUUAAAUUAAUAAAGGUUGAAUAUUUAUUUGAAUAUAAAUAUAUAUUUUAGUGGCAUGAGAUGUGAUAAUUCAAAUUAAAUUGAAUUAAGUGCGAGAUAAUCAAGAAAUGUGGUGGAAAUGAUAAUGAAGCUUAUUUAAGCUUAUGACCUAGUGUAGCAAAGUGAUGAAAUAAGUAAUUUAUUAAUUAAAUUAAUAAAGGGAAUAAUUAAAUAAGGUGAUGGAUGCUACCUAGGUCAUAAUCUGCUACCUAGUAUUUUACAAAAUUAAUACAUACAUCAAACUAGCAUAUUAGGACCGCAAACCGGAUGCCUAGAUAAGCGUGCGCGAACUGUUUCCAGAGUGGAAAAAUUUCUGGAAAUCCCAGAAUCUGCAGAUUUUUCCUUAUGAACAUGCUUGCUACCGAAUUUCAUAUCUUGCUUAAUUUAACUCCGUUUCUUAUGAAAUUUGGUCUGGUUAUACAUCAUACUACAUAGUAUUUUACAAAAUUAUUACCUACCAUAAUCGGGUCACAGAAACCAUGAUUCCAAGGCUCCGAAAAACCCGAAAAGUCACAUAUUUCAAGUUUUAACCAACUUUGACAAAAUUCAUGAUUUCGAUUCUAGCAUGCAUGGAAUUAGUUCCUAUGUCCAGAUCAUAAAUACUCAUAUAAAUACACAUGUUACAACAAUUGAACUUACUAAAUUUCCAUGAUAUGAUCAAAUUAUCAUCAUUGAGUCAUAUUAUCAAAUAUUUGGCAUGCAUGACAUAAUUUCUUGAUUCUCUACGAUAUUAAGGCAUGAUUAAACCAGAACUUUCGUUCUUACAUCCACAUAACAUCAACUAACAGUAGCAUGGCAUCACAAGGUCCAAAAAUAAUCGUUUGCAAAAAAAUCACAUAAGCAUAUUCUCUCAUUUUUAUUAAAGAACAUGGAAGAGAGAGUUCAUGGCUACCUCUUUGGUGAAUUCUUCUUGCUCGAACUAAGCUCCUCCAACGUUUCUCCUUGCUUGAUUAGUCUAACUCUAGAAUUCGCCACCCUCUCAAGCUCCUUCCUCUCUCACUCUCAACUUCGGAAGACGAGCUUGGAUAGGUAGUAUAUAUAAACAUGAUAACCAUUGUUUUUUUUCAGCCCUUCUAUCUCCAACAUCAAUUAUAUUUAUUAAGUAUAUUGUAUAAAUUCAAUUUAGCAUGGGUGGGGGUUAGAGAAAGGAAGAGUCUUGCAAUUGUAAAGGGUUUGUAACUCCCUCCCCCCUCAUUACCUUAUAAUAUGAAUACUCCCUCUCUUGUCCCAAUUUGGUUGUCACGUGGGCCCCACAUCUGCUGCACUUCUUUAUUAAAAUAUUAAUAUAAUCAAUUUAAUCGCUUAAUACACUAUUUUGACCAUUUUGCCCUUCGUAGCCAAAAAUUUCGAUACCAAUAUCGAUUGUGUCAGACCGCGAUUCACAGCAAGUUUCUGGAAAAGUUUUCAAGAACGCAACUGAGGUUGAGCACCGCGUAUCAUCCUCAAACAGAUGGGCAGAGCGAGAGAACUAUUCAAACGUUGGAAGACAUGCUGAGAGCAUGUGUUAUGGACUUCAAAGGAAGCUGGGAUGACCACCUACCAUUGGUGGAAUUUGCAUACAACAACAGUUAUCACGCGAGCAUCGGUAUGCCACCUUAUGAAGCUUUAUAUGGAAGGAAAUGCAGAACGCCAUUGUGCUGGGAUGAAGUAGGAGAACGUCAAUUGCUAGGGCCAGAAUUGGUGCAGCAAACUGCGGAUGUGAUCAAAACGAUACGUGCAAGAUUAGUGACGGCUCAAGAUCGACAGAAGAAAUAUGCUGAUCAACAUUGACAACAACGAGACUUCGAUGUCGGCACUUGUGUGUUUCUAAAGGUUUCACCUUGGAAAGGGAAAAUGAGAUUUGGGAAGGGAAAACUUAGUCUCAAAUUCAUAGGACCCUUUGAAGUGUUAAGACGAGUCGGUGAGGUAGCUUAUGAAAUAGCUUUACCUCCGGAAUUAGAGCAUGUACAUAAUGUGUUCCACGUAUCGGUUCUACGACCCUAUAAGCAAGACUACAAGCAUGUCAUAGAGUAUGAACCCAUCUAGUUUGAAAAGGACUUAACCUAUGAAGAGGUUAAAGAGGUUCCUGUACAGAUAAUUGAUAGAAAAGAACAAGUGUUACAAAAUAAAAUAAUACCUUCUGUUAAGGUAGUAUGGAGGAACCACAACGCCGAGGAGGCUACGUUGGAACUCGGGGAGAAAAUGAUGAAAAAUUACCCUAGUCUUUUUGUUUAACUUGUAAUGAUUCCGGGGACGGAAUUCUUUUAAGGGAGGGUGAAUGUAAUAUCCGAAAUUAUUAUGUAAUUUACUAAUUAUCAAUAAAUGAAUUUAUGUGAAACUCUUGUGUGAUUUCUAUUAUUAGAUGUAUAUGUGUUAUACGUACAUGUUUAAUUUUAAGUUUAUGUGAUGAGGUAUGCGUAAAUAGUUGGUUUAGAUUAAUUUAACUAUUUGAGUUGGUUAUGUAAAUAAAGUGAUUAAUUGCGUGGGAGGGGAUUAAAACAUGAGAUGGAUUUCGGAGCAGAAUUUAGGGACGUGAACUGCGUAUUUGAGUCCGGAACGUCGAAAUUAGUCAAGAUAGACUGUAACCACAAAAUGUGUCGCGGUUAACUUUUUGGUCAAAGUCAACCACGAAUUUUGGGGGGCUAAUUUGACGAAACGGAUAGUCCCAUGACGUUCGGAACGUCGAUUUAGUAGGAAUCAAUAUUGGUAUCGAAACGUUUGGCUACGGAGGUCAAAAUGGUCAAAAUAGUGUAUUAAGCGAUUAAAUUGAUUAUAUUAAUAUUUUAAUAAAGAAGUGCAGCAAAUGUGGGGGCCACGUGACAAUCAAAUUGGGACAAGAGAGGGAGUAUUCAUAUUAUAAGGUAAUGAGGGGGGAGGGAGUUACAAACCCUUUACAAAUCCAAGACUCUUCCUUUCUCUAACCCCCACCCCAUACUAAAUUGAAUUUAUACAAUAUACUUAAUACAUAUAAUUGAUGUUAGAGAUAGAAGGGCUGGAAAAAAAACAAUGGUUAUCAUGUUUAUAUAUACUACCUAUCCAAGCUCUUCUUCCUCUUUGUAAAAAUCCUACCGUGAGUGAAGUUCAGAGUGAGAGGAAGGAGCUUGAGAGGGUGGCAAAUUCUGGAGUUUUCAGAGACUAAUCAAGCAAGGAGAAUCAUUGGAGGAGCUUAGUUCGAGCAAGAAGAAUUCACCAAAGAGGUAAGCCAUGAACUCUCUUUUCCAUGCUCUUUAGUAAAAAUGAGAGAAUAUGCUUAUGUGAUUUUUUAGCAAACGAUUUCUUUUGGACCUUGUGAUGUCAUGCUACCGUUAGUUGAUGUUAUGUGGAUGUAAGAACGAAAGUUCUGGUUUAAUCAUGCCUCAAUAUCGUAGAGAAUCAAGAAAUUAUGUCAUGAAUGCCAAAUAUUUGAUAAUAUGACUCAAUGAUGAUAAUUUGAUCAUAUCAUGGAAAUUUAGUGAGUUCAAUUGUUGUAACAUGUGUAUUUAUAUGAGUAUAUAUGAUCUGGACAGUAGGAACUAAUUCCUUGCAUGCUAGAAUCGAAAUCAUGAAUUUUGUCAAAGUUGGUUAAAACUUGAAAUCUGUGACUUCGGGUUUUUCGGAGCCUUGGAAUUAUGGUUUCUGUGACCCGAUUAUGGUAGGUAAUAAUUUUGUAAAAUACUAUGUAGUAUGAUGUAUAACCAGACCAAAUUUCAUAAGAAACGGAGUUAAAUUGAGCAAGAUAUGAAAUUCGGUAGCAAGCAUGUUCAUAAGUAAAAAUCUGCAGAUUCUGGGAUUUCCAGAAAUUUUUCUAACUCUGGAAACAGUCUGCGCACGCUUAUCUAGGCAUCCAGUUUGUGGUCUUAAUCUGCUAGUUUGAUGUAUGUACUAAUUUUGUAAAAUACUAGGUAGCAUGAUGUCUAACCUGACCAAGUUUGAAUGUAAUCCGAAUUAAAACGAGCAAGAUAUGAAUUUUGGGAACUAGCAAGAAAAUAAUCAAAAUCUGGAAAACCCAGAAAAUUUUCUUACUCUGGAAACAGUCCGCACAUGCUUAUCUAUGCAAUUGGUUUGUGGUCUUAGCAUGCUAGUUUCAUGAAUGUUAUAUUUUUGUAAAAUAGCUUGUUGUAUGAAGUUUAUUGUGUCCAAGUAUCAUGAUCAUAUCAUCUGUAGAUUAGUGUGAAUAAAAGCGCAAAAGUGGCUGCAAGAAACGAAAAUUUCAAUGUCAGGUCGGAAAAAAAAAAUCUUUUUUUCUCAGGUUCUAAAAUUGUACAAUUCUACUUAUAUGAUGCGACACGUUAUGUGACUAAUUUGUAUUGAUAAUAGAAUGAGAAUUAAAUAUAUAUUCUAAUUGAAAUGAAAAGAAUCAUUUAUCCUUAAAACUAGUAUUUAUACUUAAUUGCUUAAUGUGACUUAAAUGAAUAGGUUACGUGAAGAACUAGUACAUAGCUUUAAUUAUAGAAGACUUAUUAGGCAAGUUUCUUGACUCUAUUUUUUUUCCAAUGAGCAAGUUUCUAAACUUUACUCUUUUAAUUGAGUAAAUAUUAUAUCCUUAUUCAGUGAUCGUGAGUUUCUUAACUUGUGCUAUUUAUUAAUAUGUACAAGUUUCUUAUGACGUAAGUUAUACAAAUUCACUGUACAAGCUUUAUUGAUGAUUACUCAAUUGUUAUUUCAAUCGUUAUGCUUUAAAGUUCUUAAUUAUUUAUGAACUGCUUUCAAGUAUGCUUUCUGGCCUUUUGCUCCGGCUAGACAUUAUUGAUGUGAAACGUUAUAUUAUUUGAAUUAUUCAGAUUCAUUAUAGUUAAUUAAAGUCUACCAAUCCAAAUUAUUUUGGUGCGGUCCCGCAUGAAUACUAAGAUGAACAACCCGGAUAACGGGGUAAAACUGACGUCGGGCAUAUAGUCCCAUUUACGCUUAUGCGUUUAAACUUUAUACUUGUGCACAAUGUAGGGUACGAUAGGCUGAUCACCUGGAGUACUUGCAGAGACUGUUUACAAUCUAUUUGAUUGUUAAACCGUCUGAUUUUUUCGAUGAAACAAAGUAAUGUUUAGGGUAUCUAGCACCCCUUAGUAUGCUAUUGAGAAUUCCAGAACUCUUAUCUUGAUAUUCCUGUUUAUCUCUUGAUAAUUAUUUCAACUGUUGAGAAAUAUUCAUACAAAUGCUUUUACUCCUGAUGUAUGUUCUCAAACUACUUUAUAUACUUGUUGGGCAAUUUGUGUUCAUUCUUGCUUAAACCUUUCAAUUAAGGCUGAUAAUGCUAAGGGCUCGGGCAAGGACAAGGGAAAAUCUAAGAUGAAAUGAUGAGUUAUUUAUGUAAUAAGUUAUAUUUCUGCAUAUGAUGUAAUGUAGCGAUAAACGCUAAGUUAAAAUUUCAAUUUAUUUAAGGUUGUAAAGACUUGGGAUUUUAUUUAAAUAGAUAUGUAAUAGAUAUUAUUAUUAUUAUUAUUUCCGGAGUUUAUAUAGUUAGAUGGUUAUGUAUGUGUAUCGUGAACACCAUGUCCUGUAAUCGAUCUUACACGGAUUUGGGGGCGUCACAGUCGCACCACUUCCCAGUACAAACUCAGCGUGGCCACGCCGUCUACCAGUCUUGAAAACCAAUUUUGGUUGCCUUCUGAUAUUCUGAGCAUGUUAGUUUGACUUACUAAGUAUGUUAAUGGGUCAAACAUGUAAUUUAAAGUUAUUUUGCAUGUAAUGAGUUGCAUUAGCUUGGGUUAUAAUGAUUUUAAAAGGACAAACUUGAAGUUUUGAAAAACAAACCAUGAUGGACCUUGUGCUUUUAAGUUCUGAUCUUUCUAGCCUAUAUAUGUGGCUUAGUUAUGUGUACAAAUGAGUAUGAAAUAUGAUUCGUAGUCGCUUUGCAUAUUUAGUUCGGUUUAGCAUGGAUUUUAAAAAAGGAAAACUUAGGAAUUUGAAACUACGAUAGAUGAAACAUCGAGUUACAUGUAUUCUGACUUUUGAGCAUGUAUGAUAGAACUCCUUAUACCUCUAAACAGGACUAAUAUGUACACCCAACUAGUUAAGCAUGAUAUAGACUAUAUAAGCAUGUUUUAAAGUAAGUUCUCAAAUGAUGGACUAUACUAACUAUGUGCAAAUGAAUUAAACGCAUGCUAGCAUGCGUAGUGAAGGUUGUUUAGCAGCAUUAUGUGGUUUAAUGGCUAGUGUAGCUAGUCCUUGAUGCCAAUGUUCAAAAAAGAUAAAAGCGGUACGAGGCGUUUUUCUCCGGACGAGGCGAGGCGUAAGCUUCGAGGCGGAGCGAGACGUAAGACUCGAUUUAAAAAUGAAAAAGUCUCCAAAAAAUUAUAAGACCAACAACAUUAACAUGAUGACCAAGAUCAAGACCAAUUAAAUUUAUUUUGGCGUCAUUAGCAAUUCAUGUACACAAACACAAACAAAAAUUAAUGAAAAAACAGUCAAGCACUUGCAGUCAAGCACAAACAGUCAAGCAAUUUUUUGAAUCAGAUCUUUAUAUUUUCCAUCUUUGGCAAGAUCUUUCGUCUCAUCAAAUCAUAUUUCAGUAAGAGAGAUCAUAUAACACCCGUUCUUCUACAUGCCCCAAGUCAAGCCCCAGUACAUCACGAAUCAUUAAGAGUGUGAAAAGGUAUUUAAAAAAAUAGGAAAUACAGCAGGCCGUACCAAACUCCAAAAUGUUACUUAAAAAUUCAAAUUUCACAACUCCAGAAAAUUCUUAUGCUUAAUAUAAUUUUAAAGCACAUCAAGUUAAUGCCAAUAUUUGAGUACUUUGUACAUCCUAGGUAUACCUUUAAUAAUUUUUUGAAGAGUACUCCAAACGAAAAAUUAAUAGGUAUGAUUCCAUUUCAAGACAAAUUAACUUGCUCACAAGACAGUACAUAGGAAGUAAAUAAAUAAAAAAUCAAGAACGGGAAAAAAAAAAUUAACCAGCUAAAAACAGAAUACAAACUUAACCAGCUGAAAGCUGAAAACAGAGGACUACAUUGUUCGAAAAAGAAAAAAACAGAAGACUAUACUGUAACAUAAGAAGACUACACUAUAACAGAGGACUACACUGUCACUUAGCAAACGGAAAAAAAAGAAGCAUAAAACAGAGAGGAAGAAGAAGAAGUCGGUCGAAGAAGAAGUCGCCAAGUCAGUCGACGGAGGAAGAAAGAAAAGAAAGAAGAAGAAGAAGAAGAAGAAGAAGAAGAAGAUACCUGGAGAAGGCUGAGCCAUCGCAGAAGAAGUUGAAGAAGUCGUCCUUGAAGCAGUCGGUCGAAGCCAAUGAAGUCGUCGAAGCCAAA
Molecule: long non-coding RNA, 9923 nt
Filed under: Panax ginseng (ginseng)
Lineage: Eukaryota; Viridiplantae; Streptophyta; Magnoliopsida; Apiales; Araliaceae
Description: long non-coding RNA (PGIN_LNC000229)
Source: RNAcentral